GACGAAUGCUGGCGGCGUGCUUAACACAUGCAAGUCGAACGGAAAGGCCCUGCUUUUGUGUGGUGCUCGAGUGGCGAACGGGUGAGUAACACGUGAGUAACCUGCCCUUGACUUUGGGAUAACUUCAGGAAACUGGGGCUAAUACCGGAUAGGAGCUCCUGCUGCAUGGUGGGGGUUGGAAAGUUUCGGCGGUUGGGGAUGGACUCGCGGCUUAUCAGCUUGUUGGUGGGGUAGUGGCUUACCAAGGCUUUGACGGGUAGCCGGCCUGAGAGGGUGACCGGCCACAUUGGGACUGAGAUACGGCCCAGACUCCUACGGGAGGCAGCAGUGGGGAAUAUUGCACAAUGGGCGGAAGCCUGAUGCAGCAACGCCGCGUGCGGGAUGACGGCCUUCGGGUUGUAAACCGCUUUCGCCUGUGACGAAGCGUGAGUGACGGUAAUGGGUAAAGAAGCACCGGCUAACUACGUG
RNAcentral lists this ribosomal RNA (468 nucleotides) under uncultured bacterium. Its description in RNAcentral is "partial 16S ribosomal RNA". It matches the Rfam family "Bacterial small subunit ribosomal RNA", at positions 28 to 507 of the family's 1533-position model. The record is from RNAcentral.